This 74-nucleotide transfer RNA is filed under the name Lobianchia gemellarii. RNAcentral's name for it is "tRNA-Trp". The record is from RNAcentral. Lineage: Eukaryota; Metazoa; Chordata; Actinopteri; Myctophiformes; Myctophidae.
AGGGGCUUAGGAUAAACCUAGACCGAGAGCCUUCAGAGGCUUCUAACAAGGGAGUGAAAGUCUUCCAGCCUCUG